Molecule: ribosomal RNA, 464 nt
Filed under: uncultured bacterium
Lineage: Bacteria
Description: partial 16S ribosomal RNA
Rfam family: Bacterial small subunit ribosomal RNA
Source: RNAcentral
GAUGAACGCUGGCGGCGUGCUUAACACAUGCAAGUCGAACGGAAAGGCUCCUGCUUGCAGGGGUACUCGAGUGGCGAACGGGUGAGUAACACGUGGGUGAUCUGCCCUGCACUUCGGGAUAAGCCUGGGAAACUGGGUCUAAUACCGGAUAGGACGAUGGUUUGGAUGCCAUUGUGGAAAGUUUUUCGGUGUGGGAUGAGCUCGCGGCCUAUCAGCUUGUUGGUGGGGUAAUGGCCUACCAAGGCGUCGACGGGUAGCCGGCCUGAGAGGGUGUACGGCCACAUUGGGACUGAGAUACGGCCCAGACUCCUACGGGAGGCAGCAGUGGGGAAUAUUGCACAAUGGGCGCAAGCCUGAUGCAGCGACGCCGCGUGGGGGAUGACGGCCUUCGGGUUGUAAACUCCUUUCGCUAGGGACGAAGCGCAAGUGACGGUACCUGAGAAGAAGCACCGGCUAACUACGUG